This 1215-nucleotide long non-coding RNA is filed under the name Marmota monax (woodchuck). The record is from RNAcentral. Lineage: Eukaryota; Metazoa; Chordata; Mammalia; Rodentia; Sciuridae.
AUCUCAUUAAGUUGCUUAGUGCCUCACUAAGUGGCUGCGACUGGCUUAGAACUUGAGAUCCUCCUGCCUCAGCCUUCCAAGCCACUGGGAUUAUAGGUCUGUGCCACUUCACCCAGCUCAAGUUCAUUUUUGUAUGUGAUAUAAGAUUUGUGCCUAGUUUUAUUCUUUCGCAAAUGAAUGUUCAGUUUUCCUAGUACCAUUUGUUUAAAAUAUCAUCCUUUCUCAAACAUGUAUUUUUGGUACCUUUGUUAAAAAUCUGUUGUGGAUUUAUUUCUGGGUUCUCUACUCUGAAGCAUUGGUGUACAUGUCUCUUUUUAUGCCAGUAUCACACUAUUAUGAUGGCAGUAAAAUAGUAUGUUUUGAAGUCAAAAUUUGCUCAUUAUUACUUUGGCAAUUCUGGGGUUUUUGUGGUUCCAUAAAAAUUUAAGGAGUAUCAGGCACAGUUUCAUACACCUGUAAUCCCAGCGGCUCUGGAGGCUGAGGCAGGAGGAUCCGAAGUUCAAAGCUAGCCUCAGAAACUUAGGAAGCCCUAUACAACUUAUCAAGACCCUGUCUCUAAAUAAGAUAUUAAAAGGGAUGGGGAUGUGGCUCAGUGGUUAAGCACCCCUGGGUUCAAUCCCUGGUCCCACCUCCCAAAUUUAAGGAGUGGUUUCUUUUUAUUUUUCUGAAGAAUGUCAUGGGUAUUUUAAGAGGGAUUGCAUUGAAUCUGUAAAUCACUUUGGGUAGCGUGGACUUUGUAACAAAAUAAAUACUUCCAGUCUGUGAACAUUAAAUGUCUUUUCAUUUUAUGUGUGUGUUCUCUUCAAUUUCUUGUAGUAGUAUUUUAUGCUUUCCAUUACAUAGAGUUCUUUCACCUCCUUGCUUAAAUUUAUUUUCAGGUGUUUUAUUCUUUUUGUAGCUGUCAUAAAUAGGACUGAUUUUUUUUUUUGCUACUCCAUUUGUGUGUGUGUGUGUGUGUGUACACACACACACACACACACACUUUUUGUUUGCAAAGGUUCUGCUGAUAAAUCUGCGUUUAAUUGAAUGGAGAUUCCAUUAUAUAUGACUUGAUAUUUUUCUCUUAAUGCUUUUAGAAAUCUCUUUGUUGUUGACUUUUGAUAGCUUGCUUAUAAUAUACCUUGAAGAGGAUCCCCUUUGGUUGAGUUUAUAAUUGGGAUCCUUUGAGCUUUGUGAGCCUGAAUGUGCAUAUCUCUCCCAAGAAUUGGGCAGUAU